This 785-nucleotide long non-coding RNA is filed under the name Parus major (Great Tit). RNAcentral describes it as "lncRNA (ENSPMJG00000010974.1)". The record is from RNAcentral. Lineage: Eukaryota; Metazoa; Chordata; Aves; Passeriformes; Paridae.
AUGUGUACUCUUUGUGACUGCGAUUGUGGCACACAAGUAGAGAGAAACAUGUUUUGGAAACAUCUGCUCUAUUCCAACCCUCUGGAGAAGGAUAGUUCCUUACCUUGUGUGCUGGCUACUCAUGAGAAUGAAUUUCUGUGCUAUUUUAGGCAAGACCUGUAUGCACUCAAAGAUUAUGUAAAACCGAAGAUACAGAUCCAGUUACAAAUGCAGUUUUGCAAUUGGUCUUGGAUGCAGCCUAGAGAAACAAACUGGAUUCCAACAUGAAAGGUAAAAUCUAUAAUUAAAAUAUUUGAUACUAUUUAGACAAUGAAUCUUUAAGAGAAAAAAGGUUCUGCAUUCAAUUCCAUUGAAGAAUGCUCUUAUAAAUGCAAAAACAUUUCUAAAAAAUAUUUAAAAAAAGAGAAAGACAUGAAUCCUACUACUUGAAUAUUUACAGUGUUCUUACUGUCUUAACAUUACUGAGAAGGAUGAGGUGUCAUAUUUUACCAGCUGCAGAUUUUGGGAAAUCCUACAAUGGAAUUUCCUAUUCCUCUAAAUCAUUAUAAAGGAAACCAGUCUUCUCAAAAGAAGCUGCACCCUAGUUAUAAACAUUCAUCAUCAUCCUUUCUACUUCUUACAGUGUUCAUAAAGGAUAGUCUACAUAGUGUCUCUGAUGUGCUGAAAUAAUACUAAGUAUUCCAAGCCUGCCUGUAUUCCUCCUGAUAAGAAGUGUGUAAUUUCUGUGCCAGGAGGAUCUGUAGUAACAUAAUAAAAAGAUCUGUUUAAUUUUAGAGAAGAUGGGC